GCUGGCGGUGCGCCUUAUGCAUGCAAGUCGAGCGAAGCUUUUCAGUAGUUUACUACAGAAAAUGACUGAGCGGCGAACGGGUGAGUAACGCGUGAGCAAUCUACCUUAGUUACAGGGAUAGCCCGAGGAAACUCGGAUUAAUACCUGAUAUUCUUUUUAUCUCGCAUGAGAUUUUAAGGAAAGGUCAGCCGAACUAAGAUGAGCUCG
This 207-nucleotide ribosomal RNA is filed under the name uncultured bacterium. Its description in RNAcentral is "partial 16S ribosomal RNA". It matches the Rfam family "Bacterial small subunit ribosomal RNA", at positions 35 to 233 of the family's 1533-position model. The record is from RNAcentral.